Molecule: unclassified non-coding RNA, 269 nt
Filed under: uncultured fungus
Lineage: Eukaryota; Fungi
Description: sequence contains ITS1, 5.8S rRNA gene
Rfam family: 5.8S ribosomal RNA (bases 221-269)
Source: RNAcentral
UCUCCGUAGGUGAACCUGCGGAGGGAUCAUUACAUUAAAAAAUAUGAAGGCUACAUGCAGCUCUGCCUCUCUGGGCUAGUUUGCUAGGGCCGAAUUAUUUUUCUCACCCAUGUCUUUUGUGCACUUGUUGUUUCCUUGGCGGGUUUUGCCUGCCACCAGGACCACACCAUAAACCCUUUAUGCAGUUGCAAUUAGCGUUAGUAUAACCACAAUUAUUUACAACUUUCAACAACGGAUCUCUUGGUUCUGGCAUCGAUGAAGAACGCAGC